UACGGAGGGUGCAAGCGUUGCUCGGAAUUAUUGGGCGUAAAGGGUAGGUAGGUGGUCUCAUUUGUCUGAGGUGAAAUCCUUGGGCUUAACCCAAGAAGUGCCUCAGAAACGGUGAGACUGGAGUCCUGGAGAGGGUCGUGGAAUUCCCGGUGUAGCGGUGAAAUGCGUAGAGAUCGGGAGGAACACCAGAGGCGAAGGCGGCGACCUGGACAGGUACUGACACUCAACUACGAAAGCGUGGGGAGCAAACAGG
RNAcentral lists this ribosomal RNA (253 nucleotides) under uncultured bacterium. RNAcentral describes it as "partial 16S ribosomal RNA". It matches the Rfam family "Bacterial small subunit ribosomal RNA", at positions 524 to 776 of the family's 1533-position model. The record is from RNAcentral.